Molecule: ribosomal RNA, 464 nt
Filed under: uncultured bacterium
Lineage: Bacteria
Description: bacterial SSU rRNA
Rfam family: Bacterial small subunit ribosomal RNA
Source: RNAcentral
AACGCUGGCGGCGUGCCUAACACAUGCAAGUCGAACGGAGAUGUUGAUUUCGGUUGACGUCUUAGUGGCGAACGGGUGAGUAACGCGUGAACAAUCUGACCUUAAGAGGGGGAUAACAACGAGAAAUCGUUGCUAAUACCGCAUAAGACCACAAUGCCGCAUGGCGAAGGGGUCAAAGGAGCAAUCCGCUUAAGGAGGGGUUCGCGUCCCAUUAGGUAGUAGGUGAGGUAACGGCUCACCUAGCCGACGAUGGGUAGCCGAGCUGAGAGGCUGAUCGGCCACACUGGAACUGAGACACGGUCCAGACUCCUACGGGAGGCAGCAGUGGGGAAUAUUGGGGCAAUGGGCGCAAGCCUGACCCAGCAACGCCGCGUGAGGGAAGAAGGUUUUCGGACUGUAAACCUCUGUCGCAGAUGACGAAACAAAUGACGGUAAUCUGUGAGGAAGCCCCGGCUAACUACGUG